UGGCGGCGCGCCUAACACAUGCAAGUCGAACGGAGCUUAGAGAGCUUGCUUUUUAAGCUUAGUGGCGAACGGGUGAGUAACGCGUGAGUAACCUGCCCUAGAGUGGGGGACAACAGUUGGAAACGACUGCUAAUACCGCAUAAGCCCACGGUACCGCAUGGUACUGAGGGAAAAGGAAUUAUUCGCUUUAGGAUGGACUCGCGUCCAAUUAGCUAGUUGGUGAGGUAACGGCCCACCAAGGCGACGAUUGGUAGCCGGACUGAGAGGUUGAACGGCCACAUUGGGACUGAGACACGGCCCAGACUCCUACGGGAGGCAGCAGUGGGGGAUAUUGCACAAUGGGGGAAACCCUGAUGCAGCGACGCCGCGUGGAGGAAGAAGGUUUUCGGAUUGCAAACUCCUGUCGUUAGGGACGAUAAUGACGGUACCUAACAAGAAAGCACCGGCUAACUACGUGCCAGCAGCCGCGGUAAAACGUAGGGUGCUAGCGUUGUCCGGAAUUACUGGGUGUAAAGGGAGCGCAGGCGGGAAGACAAGUUGGAAGUGAAAACCAUGGGCUCAACCCGUGAAUUGCUUUCAAAACUGUUUUUCUUGAGUAGUGCAGAGGUAGAUGGAAUUCCCGGUGUAGCGGUGGAAUGCGUAGAUAUCGGGAGGAACACCAGUGGCGAAGGCGGUCUACUGGGCACCAACUGACGCUGAGGCUCGAAAGCAUGGGUAGCAAACAGGAUUAGAUACCCUGGUAGUCCAUGCCGUAAAC
Molecule: ribosomal RNA, 757 nt
Filed under: uncultured bacterium
Lineage: Bacteria
Description: bacterial SSU rRNA
Rfam family: Bacterial small subunit ribosomal RNA
Source: RNAcentral